UUAAGGAUAAGAGACUGUCUUGAUAUUUUCAGUGUAAAACUUGAUUUUAUUUUUUCUUUCAGGCUACCCCUAGUGGUUGGUCCUUGCCUAUUAAGGCUAUGGCCAGAUCCCCACCCCUUUGGGCCAUUUGUGUAUCUAUAUUUUGUCAGUCUUAUGCUGUUAACAUCAUGGGGUUAAUGUUGCCAACCCUGAUCAAGAAUAUGUUUGAUUUUGACCUCAGAAAUAUUCUUUAUCCUUCCUGAACAAAUCAUUAAGGUUUUCCUGGUCUUCUGAACCUGACUGAGGAGAACCACAAAGAAGAGUUGCAUGCUUGAUUAAGAGACUCUUAAGGUUGGAAGGAACUUCAGAAGCCAUCCUGAACAAGAAUCCUUCUCUACAACAUACAUAAUGAGUUAUCAUCUAGCCUUUAAUUGAAGAUCUCUAGGUAGCUAGGAAAUGCAGUGGACAGAGUGCUAGCUUUGAAGUCCAGAAAUCCCAAGCUCAAAUCAGACCUCAGACACCUCCUGGCUGUAUGAUCCUGGGCAAGACAUUGCCUCAAUUUUCUCAUCUAAAAAUGGAUGUAAGAAUGGUACCUACCUCUCAGGUGGUUGUGAGGAUCAAAUAAAAUAACAUAUUUAAAGCA
Molecule: long non-coding RNA, 622 nt
Filed under: Phascolarctos cinereus (koala)
Lineage: Eukaryota; Metazoa; Chordata; Mammalia; Diprotodontia; Phascolarctidae
Description: lncRNA (ENSPCIG00000003376.2)
Source: RNAcentral